This 237-nucleotide long non-coding RNA is filed under the name Nicotiana benthamiana. RNAcentral's name for it is "long non-coding RNA (NBEN_LNC018760)". The record is from RNAcentral. Lineage: Eukaryota; Viridiplantae; Streptophyta; Magnoliopsida; Solanales; Solanaceae.
UUUGACCACCCCGCUCCUAUUCGAUGGGUGACGUCCCCGUCAAUCUCUCCGUCCCCCUGAAUCACAGACCCAAGAUAUCGGACACUGGCCCUCUUGGCGAUGGCCUGAGAACCAAGCAUCACGUCCCUGCCUACCCCGCUCGGCUCGUCGCCAAAUUUGCACUCCAGGUAUUCCGUCUUAGAUCUGCUUAUUUUGAAACCUUUAGACUCGAGGGUCUGUCUCCAUACCUCUAACCUU